GGGGAUGUUUGGUUUCGACAGGGUUCGAGGUUAGAUUGCUGCGUGCCGAAGCGCCCAGGCCUUCGUAAAAAUGGGCAAAAAAGAGUAACUGGCAACAGCGAACUCGCUUACGCUGCCUAAGUCCUUCGACCUCUAGUCAGCGCGUCCGCCCGGAUCUCUGCUCUGUGGAACCGGAAUCGGGCGUCACCAAGCAGAGCUGCGAUAGUGAAGUUCGCCUGAGCGAAGCUAUCAAAGUCAGUCAGGCUAACUCGGAACACUCCUGUCGGUGGGAUCGGUUUCGAGGAAUCUAAACGCCGACUAUGCGCGUAGGAUGCACUCGAUCAAGGGUUCUGGACGGGGGUUCGACUCCCCCCAUCUCCACCA
Molecule: transfer-messenger RNA, 363 nt
Filed under: Thermomicrobiales
Lineage: Bacteria; Pseudomonadati; Thermomicrobiota; Thermomicrobia
Also listed under: 1 other name
Description: JAMLHN01 sp023957115 Standard tmRNA
Rfam family: transfer-messenger RNA
About the family: Bacterial tmRNA, also known as 10Sa RNA or SsrA, is named for its dual tRNA and mRNA-like properties.
Source: RNAcentral